Unclassified non-coding RNA from Cavia porcellus (domestic guinea pig), 90 nucleotides. It matches the Rfam family "Y RNA". From Rfam's summary of the family: Y RNAs are components of the Ro ribonucleoprotein particle (Ro RNP), in association with Ro60 and La proteins. The Y RNAs and Ro60 and La proteins are well conserved, but the function of the Ro RNP is not known. In humans the RNA component can be one of four small RNAs -- hY1, hY3, hY4 and hY5. The record is from Ensembl. NCBI's taxonomy places the organism in Eukaryota, Metazoa, Chordata, Mammalia, Rodentia, Caviidae.
GGCUGGUCCGAUGGUAGUGGGUCAUUAGUUAACAUUAGUGUCACUAAAGGUGGUAUACCCCCCCCCACUGCUAAAUCUGACUGGCUUAAA